Molecule: long non-coding RNA, 331 nt
Organism: Neogale vison (American mink)
Lineage: Eukaryota; Metazoa; Chordata; Mammalia; Carnivora; Mustelidae
Exons: 2
Source: RefSeq, a predicted model, not a curated record
UUUUCCCUGCAGAAAAGAUUGCAGAUUCACCUUCAGAUGUGUGUUUCAGGAGGACAAAAAAAAAAAAAAAAAGUGCAAUAGGAAGGUGUAGCUGUUGACCCCCGCCUCCCCUAGGAAAAUAAGCGGCAAGAAUUCUUUCAGGUUGCGUCUUCGUGGAGGCCAACAGCUAAACGAAAAGGCAGCCUUUUGGGGGCUGCCCACUGUCCAGCAUUUGGGCACCUGAAGUGCACAAAGAAGACGGCUUUGGAGCAAGAAUUUGGAAUAUGCGUUUAAGUUGUCGUGCUUUGCAUUGGAAACCCCUGGGCAAUUAAAAUAAUAAGCAUGCCUUGUA